CCUACGGGGGGCUGCAGUGGGGAAUAUUGGACAAUGGGGGGAACCCUGAUCCAGCCAUGCCGCGUGUGUGAAGAAGGCCCUCGGGUUGUAAAGCACUUUCAGUGAGGAAGAACGCCUGGUGGUUAAUACCCAUCAGGAAAGACAUCACUCACAGAAGAAGCACCGGCUAACUCCGUGCCAGCAGCCGCGGUAAUACGGAGGGUGCGAGCGUUAAUCGGAAUUACUGGGCGUAAAGCGCGCGUAGGUGGCUUGAUAAGCCGGCUGUGAAAGCCCCGGGCUCAACCUGGGAACGGCAUCCGGAACUGUCAAGCUAGAGUGCAGGAGAGGAAGGUAGAAUUCCCGGUGUAGCGGUGAAAUGCGUAGAGAUCGGGAGGAAUACCAGUGGCGAAGGCGGCCUUCUGGACUGACACUGACACUGAGGUGCGAAAGCGUGGGUAGCAAACAGGAUUAGAUACCCCUGUAGUC
This 465-nucleotide ribosomal RNA is filed under the name Vreelandella stevensii. RNAcentral describes it as "partial 16S ribosomal RNA". It matches the Rfam family "Bacterial small subunit ribosomal RNA", at positions 338 to 795 of the family's 1533-position model. The record is from RNAcentral. Lineage: Bacteria; Pseudomonadati; Pseudomonadota; Gammaproteobacteria; Oceanospirillales; Halomonadaceae.